GGAGCGGUAGUUCAGCUGGUUAGAAUACCUGCCUGUCACGCAGGGGGUUGCGGGUUCGAGUCCCGUCCGUUCCGCCA
This 77-nucleotide transfer RNA is filed under the name Actinobacillus pleuropneumoniae. Its description in RNAcentral is "tRNA-Asp". It matches the Rfam family "tRNA". Rfam says of the family: Transfer RNA (tRNA) molecules are approximately 80 nucleotides in length. Their secondary structure includes four short double-helical elements and three loops (D, anti-codon, and T loops). The record is from RNAcentral. Lineage: Bacteria; Pseudomonadati; Pseudomonadota; Gammaproteobacteria; Pasteurellales; Pasteurellaceae. RNAcentral also lists the same sequence under 3 other names.